RNAcentral lists this ribosomal RNA (429 nucleotides) under Bacteroidota bacterium. Its description in RNAcentral is "Bacteroidetes bacterium partial 16S ribosomal RNA". It matches the Rfam family "Bacterial small subunit ribosomal RNA", at positions 355 to 776 of the family's 1533-position model. The record is from RNAcentral. Lineage: Bacteria; Pseudomonadati; Bacteroidota.
UAGGGAAUCUUCGGCAAUGGGGGGAACCCUGACCGAGCAACGCCGCGUGAGUGAAGAAGGUUUUCGGAUCGUAAAGCUCUGUUGUUAAGGAAGAACGAGUGUGAGAAUGGAAAGUUCAUACUGUGACGGUACUUAACCAGAAAGGGACGGCUAACUACGUGCCAGCAGCCGCGGUAAUACGUAGGUCCCGAGCGUUGUCCGGAUUUAUUGGGCGUAAAGCGAGCGCAGGCGGUUAGAUAAGUCUGAAGUUAAAGGCAGUGGCUCAACCAUUGUAGGCUUUGGAAACUGUUUAACUUGAGUGCAGAAGGGGAGAGUGGAAUUCCAUGUGUAGCGGUGAAAUGCGUAGAUAUAUGGAGGAACACCGGUGGCGAAAGCGGGUCUCUGGUCUGUAACUGACGCUGAGGCUCGAAAGCGUGGGGAGCGAACAGG